RNAcentral lists this ribosomal RNA (208 nucleotides) under uncultured bacterium. Its description in RNAcentral is "partial 16S ribosomal RNA". It matches the Rfam family "Bacterial small subunit ribosomal RNA", at positions 568 to 775 of the family's 1533-position model. The record is from RNAcentral.
CACGUAGGCGGUUAAGCAAGUCCAUUGUGAAAUCCCCCGGCUUAACCGGGGAACCGCAGUGGAUACUACUUGACUUGAGUACAGGAGGGGAGAGUGGAAUUCCAGGUGGAGCGGUGAAAUGCGUAGAUAUCUGGAGGAACGCCGGUGGCGAAAGCGACUCUCUGGUCUGUAACUGACGCUGAGGUGCGAAAGCUAGGGGAGGCAAACG